CACGUAGGGCGCAAGCGUUGUCCGGAAUUAUUGGGCGUAAAGAGCUCGUAGGCGGUCUGUUGCGUCCGCUGUGAAAACUCGGGGCUUAACCCCGAGCCUGCAGUGGAUACGGGCAGACUAGAGGUAGGUAGGGGAGAAUGGAAUUCCCGGUGUAGCGGUGAAAUGCGCAGAUAUCGGGAGGAACACCGGUGGCGAAGGCGACUACCUGGCCUGUUUCUUGACGCUGAGGCGCGAAAGCUAGGGGAGCAAACGGG
This 254-nucleotide ribosomal RNA is filed under the name uncultured bacterium. RNAcentral describes it as "partial 16S ribosomal RNA". It matches the Rfam family "Bacterial small subunit ribosomal RNA", at positions 524 to 776 of the family's 1533-position model. The record is from RNAcentral.